RNAcentral lists this ribosomal RNA (464 nucleotides) under Vreelandella stevensii. RNAcentral describes it as "partial 16S ribosomal RNA". It matches the Rfam family "Bacterial small subunit ribosomal RNA", at positions 338 to 794 of the family's 1533-position model. Lineage: Bacteria; Pseudomonadati; Pseudomonadota; Gammaproteobacteria; Oceanospirillales; Halomonadaceae. The record is from RNAcentral.
CCUACGGGGGGCUGCAGUGGGGAAUAUUGGACAAUGGGGGCAACCCUGAUCCAGCCAUGCCGCGUGUGUGAAGAAGGCCCUCGGGUUGUAAAGCACUUUCAGUGAGGAAGAACGCCUGGUGGUUAAUACCCAUCAGGAAAGACAUCACUCACAGAAGAAGCACCGGCUAACUCCGUGCCAGCAGCCGCGGUAAUACGGAGGGUGCGAGCGUUAAUCGGAAUUACUGGGCGUAAAGCGCGCGUAGGUGGCUUGAUAAGCCGGUUGUGAAAGCCCCGGGCUCAACCUGGGAACGGCAUCCGGAACUGUCAAGCUAGAGUGCAGGAGAGGAAGGUAGAAUUCCCGGUGUAGCGGUGAAAUGCGUAGAGAUCGGGAGGAAUACCAGUGGCGAAGGCGGCCUUCUGGACUGACACUGACACUGAGGUGCGAAAGCGUGGGUAGCAAACAGGAUUAGAUACCCCAGUAGU